AGGAGUGGAGGUGAAUUUGCUCCAGAGGCUGCCCCUGGCUUCUGCAAUGGACUCUACCUCAGCUUGGUGCCCCUUGACGCCAGAGUGCACUUUUAGGACAGCACUUUCCACGUGACAUUCAGGCACCUGUUUGUGAGACUCUCUCCUGCAACUACACCAAAGCCCCUCAAGGGCAAAGGAUUUUUGUUUUUCUCAUUUUUGUACUCCCAGCUUUUACCACCGUGCUUUGAAUACAGAAGUGCUCCAGUAAUGAUCGGGGAACAGAAUCAAACCAGGCCAGGGGCCAGGCAGCCACCAAAGACUCUCCUUCCGGCCACUCUUCUUACUGCCCCGUAUGUCAAAAUAGAAGAACUUAAAUCCCCCAACAUGGGAAAGCCAGGAAAAUGGCCCCACAAUCAGCUUCCUUGGGAAGCACAGCCCUGAAGCAGGAACAUGAAGCAAAUUCACCUCCACUCCUCACAGGACUCUAUGGAUCCUUGGUCUAUAAAUACCUUUCGGGGAGAUGUGCAGCCCCACGAGCUCAGCUCUUCCUUCUUCAGGAGGUGGUUUCCCAUGGAGACAGCCAGAUCUGUGGAACAUUUCCACCUUCAUGGCCUCUUUCAGGAAGGAGCUGGUUCUCUUACUCGGCUUCAUUUUCAAAUGCUAAUUUGGUACACACCCUGCCAGAGUAUCCAAGCCAGAGGUGGAUUUGCUUCAGAACAGUUCUUGUUUUCAAUGGCUGGAAACACCCUCUCUGGAGAUGACACCCUCUUAGGUUAAAGUGUGUUCCUCAUUGUGUUGAAGAUGAUCUUUCUCAGUAGGAAUGAACUAUAGACACACAGGUCCACCUUCACGCAGCAGUUGCGACCUUGAAAUUAUAGGCCGAAUCUCUCUGUGCCCAGCUGUCCACCUCCACCCUGGCCUUUAGGUAAGUGACUCUGCAUGGCCUGAAUGUACCUUUCAUUCCUCAGUCUCUCCAGCUACAGUCCCUUUCCCUGGCAUCUGCAGCAGAGAACCCAGGCUUUAAGGAGAGCAGACAUGUCCUCAUGAGGGACAGAGGAGUCCCCUAAGAAAUGAGACCACAGUCCAGUUCUGUCCAAGGGCAGGAUGGGGCAGGAGAAGGAAGCUGUCUGCAGUCCCGUACACAGCACCCUACCCACUUGAGGCCCUCAAGGGAAGCAUCUUUAAAGCAACAUCAGCCUCAAAGAAAGGGUUUGAAUCCACCCGUGAGACUCUCCUCCCUCCUCAGUCCCUACCGAAUUUAUAAGAGAAAGAGAAGCGUAGAAUAAAACUCUGCGUUGGCUGAAAACAGGGGUAGGUGACAUCACCAAGCCUGAGUUCUGGGGAAUUUCUGCAAAUUCUUCAGAUGAGGGCAGGACGGCCUGGACAGCUGCAAAGUGAGCACGUGUGAAGGAAAAGGGAGGAGCUCCCUGAGUGACCGCCAAGAAAAAAUGCACAGAGAAGCUAAACGAAAAGAAAAUAAAAUUAAUUCCACUACUCAGAGAUCAUCACUGCCAACAUCUUGGUCUCAGUAGCCCACAUGGAUUGGUCAGCAUCGUUCCAGAAUCAAGCUCUGCAUAAUCGAACCAAGACCACCUGUUGUCCCAGGAGCUUCCUAACUCCUCUGAUCCGAGCAUCUACCUUGACCAGCACUCAGAUAAGCCACACCAUGGACCAGCUGGUGAUGGGGACAAUGUCAGCUUUGCUUUUAGGGAUUUGUUAUUGUGGGAACCCACGUUUUAUCGGCAGCCCUAGUUGAUCCACCUGCUUUGUGAUGCCAACAUAGGAACUUGUCUGGAGGGUCAGAGAAGAAGCAAUUGGCCCUCAAAGCACAUUGACACCUUUGAGGAAAGUGGAGGCCAAGUCAGCAGGCAGCAGCUUGCAGGGAAAUUAAGCAGAAUUCUGAACUUUUGGAAAGAAGUAAAUUUCUGGCACUUGGCAUGGUUUCAGAAUGAACUCUGGAGGUUGGUGUAGUUCCCUAGAUCCAGGGGGCUUGGGGAAUUCCAUAUGAGUCAUCUGGGCUGACCUCGUAAGUGCCCCAGGGUGAGGGGCAAUCCUCUGUCUCCCCAGGCACUUCUGUUCAAGCAUUCUGCCCAGGAGUUGGCAUGGCCACCCACACCCGGCCACCUCGAGAGAUAGAUGGAAUACCAGCAGCCCACGGGUGUCUCUUGUCAGCAAAAAGCACCCUGGAAAUGGGUGGCUGGAUAAAAGCCCCUCUGUCUGUUGCUGGCUGGGACAGCGUCUACCACAGCCUACACUUGUACUAUGGGAAUGUUUCUCUCUAGCUUAAUGCUCCUGAGAGAAGUGCACAUUUUCUGCUAAAUGUGUGGCUUCAUGGGCUUGCAGUUGAUGGCUUUCUUCGGAGAGGGCUUCAUGCUUCUUGGAGUCUGACUCCUACCCUUCCACGCUCAGCCUAGCUAGGCCUGAGCAGGUGCAUAAAGUGAUCUGACCUAGUGAAUGGGAAGGUGUACACAGACAGAAUCUGUAUAUUUUGCAUAUACUGCAUUCAAGAGAAUACAGCCAUGCAUCAUGACAUUUCAUCAAUCACGGACCACUGACUCAUUACCAGUGAUCUGGUAAGACGAUAACAUGUGUAUACAGUGGCCUAGGCUGUACCAUCUAAGUUUGUGGAAGUACACUUUAUGAUGUUUGCACAACAAUGAAAUCAUCUAACGACAUAUUUUUCAGAGUGUAUCCCUGGUAUGAGCGUAUAUUAAGGUCAAUUUCAUCUGUUUCUUCUUAUCUUUUAAUGUGGCUACUUAAAGGUUUACAACUACAUGCAUAGCUUGUGUUCUCUUUGUAUUGGGCAACGCUUUUUCAGUGGACACCGAAGUUAUGAAGCACUGGGCCGGGAGUCCCUGCAUCCGAGUUCCAGCAUCAUCUGUGACACUAACAGACCUGGGCCGGGAGUCCCUGCAUCCGAGUUCCAGCAUCAUCUGUGACACUAACAGACCUGGAAGUCUUUGAGUAAAUCUCUUCUACGGGCCUCAGUUUCCUCAUCUGUAGAACAGGAAAGUUGAACUACGUAAUAUCCAACCUACCAGCAACUUUCAACUUUUCUGCUACCCAGGUAAUGGGUAAGUUAGAAAGAAAUGACAGUUUGCACAGCCAGUCCCUAUUCCUGCAGAAAGACAGGGCGCAUACUCACACUGUCUGAUAAAAGGUUAAACAGCAUGGCACUGGUAAAUGUAGGAGCAGGGAGGGCACUCUUUUAUUUAUUCAUUAGCCACCGCCCACUGAAUUCCCUAAAGACUACUCUCUCUUUGGAAACUGAACUCCUGAGUCCCCUUACAUACCCAUAACCAGGAGGUGCCAUGAGCCGAGAGGCUGGGCCUAAGAGAGCCUCCCUCCCCACAGCCAGCUCACAAAUGCAGGGCCCUGGGUCUCAGAAAUCAAUGUCAGGGCAAGGGAGGCAAGGCAUUAACUGUCUCUUCCAGGAACACUUUCACAGAAAGUCUUUUAAGAGCUGGAGAGGAGCGAGGGCAUCUGGGCUCUCGCAUUGUUUAUGCAAACGCUGAAAUUAAUAUUUCAGAUGGGCAAAUAGAAGAACCCAAGUCACUCACUGGCCUCUCAUUUCCAUCACAGAAGCCUGGAACUCUGUUUCUCCUUCCUCAAUCCCAAUCUUGUUUCUGGAGGCUUUGUCGGGAUUCCCUUCCCAUCCUGCCACUUCCUUGCUUUGAGAACCUCAGAUGGUCUCUCUUUCCCUGGGAAGAGAAUCUAGUCUGGUGUUCCAGUUUCCCCGCUGCCAUCUCACCCUGAUUUUCCUGCCCAGGCCUCCCUCCCCAGCCCCACCUCCCCUAGGUGACUUGCCUUUCCUGGACCUUGCCCAGCCCAACCACAAGCCCUGGCUCAUGGGGGCCCCUCUGCUGGACAGGACCUUUCCUCCACCAGCAGCCCUGCAGUGUCCUCUGCCUUCGGGUUCCCAGUUUAGGUGACACAGGUUUCCUCCACAAAUAGCUGCCCUUACUGUGCCUCACUCUCUGAUCCUGGCCAUCCCUGCUUUACUUUAUUAAUCCUUCCAACCACCAUGCCAGGUGGGGACUCUCACAAGGGACAUGGCAGAUCGGGGAGGUUGGAACCCAGCCAGUCGACUCUGGAGCCCACACAAGUAACCCCUGUGCUGACUCGCUUCUCCUGGGGAUUUCUCUCUUUCCUUGGGGUUCCUGCGGCACAUUUUCUGUCUCUCUUAGCGUGCUUGUGUUAGUUUGCCAGAGCUGCCAUCCAAAAUACUGUAGACAGGGUGGCUUAAACAAUAGGAAUUUAUUUUCUCACAGUGCUGAACGCUAGAAGUCCAAGAGUGAGGUGUCAGCAGGUUUUUGAACCAUUUUCUGGUUUUCAAACCAUUGGCUUGCAGAUGACAUCUUCUCUCCAUGUCCCCACAUGCUGUGCCCUGUGUGUGUGUCUGUGUCCUAGUCUCCUCUUCCUAUAGGGACACCUGUCAUAUUGAAUCAGGACCCAUCCACAAGACCUCAUUUUAAAUUAAUUUCCAUUUAAAGACCCUGUCUUCAAAUCCAGUCCCAUUCUGAGGUAUGGGCAGUUAGGGCUUCGACAUGAGAAUUUGGAGCAGGUGACGCAAUUCAGCCCGUAACAGUACCAAUCACAGUCGACUUUAAACGGCAGUAAGUCAGAUGAGUGCCCGUUCCCCAUCUGGCUGAUAGAGACUGCAUCUGAGUCAGCCCCGUGUUCUCUGGGUUUAAGUUCAGCUCAGCACUAUGAAGAGGCCCCUCCCGUUUCCAAGAGACUGGAUCUUACAGGCCAAGAUAACCAGGUGAUUAUCUUGGUAUGGUGGGAGGAUGGGUCAUGUCUCUUUUCUUGCCUGUCUCUGUGUGAUUGAACAGAGAAAUGUAGCAGAGGAGGUUCAGGCUGACACAGCAUUCACUGCUCGGCUUUCAGCUAGAAGAGACAUCUCAGGAAGCCUGGGGAUCCGGGAGGCUUUGAGCAUAGAUGGGCCUGAGAAUAGGGUGGCGGGGGGCUGAGGUCCAGGUGGAGGUGUGCACCCAUGACUCAGGAGUGAAGAGGUCGUGGGGGGUUUGCAGGCUGCUGUGGUGCCUGAGAUGUGUGUGUGUCAGUACAGGACAGUGAGUGGGCCAGAGAGUAACAACUGAAGUCAUCAAGUACAGCUGGGGCUGGGUUUGGGAUGCUACGGGAGUCAGACGGAGGAGCUGGGUUUUCUUGGCUGUUCAUUGUACACAAAGUCCAACUAUAGAGACAGUUUGAGGAGGAGGGCAGGCACUGGAAGUGAGCAGUGCUGGGAAAGGGCUGGUGAGUUCAGGGUGUAGCUGGCCCCUUCCUCAAGUUGGUGGAGUGCAGUUUCCUGGAAGAGGAAUCUUCAGUUCUCACUGUUGCCUUUUUAUAAGUGAAAAAGAUAGUGUGAAUCCUGCAGAACCGCUCCUGGGGUUCCCUGUCUUGGUAAAUGUCACCACACACAGAUGCCCAAACCAGAAACAUGACCACCAUCCAGCCUCCUCCCUAAAGUUUAUCCCCCUUAGUGAACCCAUCACCAAAUCCCAUCACCAAAUUCUCCCCCGAAGAUGUCAGAGUCCAGCUCCAUUGUACUCCCAUGUGCAAGCCACUGUCCUCUUACCCUGGGACCACUGCUGGGGUCUCGUCUUCCUGCCACAACCCAGACCCCUCUCCCUGUAAUUCGUCUUGCACUCAGCUAUCAGAGACAUUUUCCAAAGUUUAAAUUGUGUCCUCUUACAGGACGGUCUGGUGGCUCUCUAGUGUUCUCUGGGCUAGGUCCAAACUCUUUGUUGACUUCUAAGCCUCUGCAGGCCCCAGCCCCUCAUCUCCCAUCAUUCCACCACAACCAUUCAGUGGGUCACACGGAACAAUGCUGGGGUUCUAGGUUCAGCUCUGGGCUCUUCCCACCUCCUCUGCUUGGCUAAGUCUCAUUAUUCACAUCAGAUACCACCUUUCAUGGGAGUCAGCCUUGAUCCCUAGACUGGGAUCACAUGCGAGGGGCCUUCAAAAAGUUUACGGAAGGUGGAUAUGAUGUAAAAACUAUGUAUGAAUUCAGAAUGUGUUUGGCACCAAAAGAAACUUGUGCUAACUUGUUAUGAUGUGCAUGAACAGGAUCUAGUUUGAGGCACUAAGAAGAAUAAGGCAUCGGUCUGAAAGGAGCCUCCACCAGCGCCACGUGAAUUCUAUUAAAAUUGAAGCAAAAACGAAAAAACAAAAAACCAUCAAAUGUAUGGCAAUGGUUGGGUGGAAGAAUGAUUAAAUCAUUGAUUUCUUAAUGAAAAGUUUAUGGGAACAAUACCCCAAAGCAAUCAGCGGUUUACAAAUGGAUAAAUUGUUUGAAGAAGGGAUGAGAUGAUACUGAAGACGAAGCCCACAGUGGCAGACGAUCCGCAUCAGUUUUCAAAGAAAAAACUAAUAUUUUUUGUGUCCUAAUUGAAGAUGACUGAUGAUUAGCAGCAGAAAUGAUAGCCAACACCAUAGAUAUUGCAAAGGUUCAGCUUAUACAAUUAUCUCAAAAAUUAAAGUGGAGCAAAUUUCCAUUUGAUGGGUGCCAAAAUUGUUGUGCCCAGAUCAGCUGAAAACCUUAAGGGGAGAGCUUUCAAUGGAAGUUUUAAACAAGUGGAAUCAAGAUCCUGAAGUAUUUCUUCAAAUAAUUGUAACAGCAGAUGAAACACAGCUUUACUAGCAUGAUCCUGAAGACAAGUUACAAUCGAAGCAGGGUUACCGAGAGGUGAAAGGGGGCCGGUCAAGGGCAAAGGUCAUGGCAACAAUAGUUUUUGGAUGCUGAAGGCAUUCUGCUUGUUGACUUUCUGGAGAGUCAAAGAACAAUAACAUCUGCUUACUAUAAGAGUGUUUUGAGAAAGCCAAAGCUUUAGCAGGAAAUAUGCCUGGGAAAGCUUCACCGGAGGGUCCUUUUUACUGUGACAAUGCUCCUGCUCAUUCCUCUCACCAAACAGGGAAAUCAUGUGAGGGUUUCGAUGGGAAAUCAUUAGGCAUCUACCUUACAGUCCUAAUUUGGCUCCUUCUGUCCUUUUUUUUUUUUUUCGUUUCCUAAUUUAAAAAAGUUUGUAAAGGGCACCCAUUUUUCUUCAGUUAAUCAUGUAAAAAGACUGCAUUGACAUGGUUAAAUUCCCAAGACCCUCAUUUUUUUAAGGAUGGACUUAAUGGUUGGUAUCAUUGCUUACAAAAGUGUGUUCGACUUGAUGGAGGUUAUGUUGAAAAACAAAGAUUACGUUUUGAAUGUUUAUCUUUUUGUUCCAUUUUUUCCAGGAAGUGUUUGAAGUCUCCCUAUACAUCUCUUUAGCUUGCUGCCGUAACACUUGCCACACAGAGGGUACCUAUUUACCUGGUUGCCUCUUCUAUAGAUUCUAAUCUCCUAUAGUACAGGGCCAAGUCUACUUUCUUUUCUUGAACUCCAGCAUUUAACCUCAGGGUUAACAUAGAGAAGGGACUAAAUGCAUACUUAAGAAAUGAGCAAAUUGGUCAUCCACUCCUGUAUGAGACCACAGUCACCCUGUUUCUGCUUUCUUAGGUCCGAACUUUA
This is a non-coding RNA of Callithrix jacchus (white-tufted-ear marmoset), 7486 nucleotides long. NCBI's taxonomy places the organism in Eukaryota, Metazoa, Chordata, Mammalia, Primates, Cebidae. The record is from RefSeq and is a predicted model, not a curated record.